GGUUCAGUGAAGAGGAUGAAGAGUAACUUAUUCCGAGAUGGUUAUGUCAGACAGGAGCUGGGAGUUUGCUCGAAGGAUUCUUGCACAGAAUCCUGUCUGGCCAGUAAUUGAAGUAACAGGAAAAGCAAUAGAAGAAACUGCAGCUGUUGUAUUGAGACUUUAUCACGACCGGAAGCACAAGUGCUCUAUGCCAAGAAUAUCAAAACGCUACUAGAAACGGAAAUUUUGAACCAAGGAAGUAACAUCCGAACUGUCUGCAAACCAAAAUAUGAGGUAAAAAUAUGCUGAAUGGCAUGCCUCUUUUAUAUUAUAUACCCUUGAUACAUACAUAAAUAAACAUAUAUAGUGUUACCUUUACGUGAAUAUAUUUGUUGUACCAAAACAUGAGGUAAGAAUAUGCUGAAUGGCAUGCCUCUUUUAUUUUAUAUACCUGUGGUACAUCGUAAACAUAGAUAUAGUGUUACCAAUACAUGAAUGUCGAGUAUAGCCAUGCAGUUUCUCUGCUGAAAAGAUUUCUUUGGUUUGAAUCAA
Molecule: non-coding RNA, 531 nt
Organism: Malus domestica (apple)
Lineage: Eukaryota; Viridiplantae; Streptophyta; Magnoliopsida; Rosales; Rosaceae
Source: RefSeq, a predicted model, not a curated record